GCUGUUUGGAUAUCUUGCCGUUAUCCAUUCUCCUCCCGUGUCCCACUCAGAUAAUGUGUGAAUUGACAAGCAUCAGUGCUGGUGGACUGGUAGUGAAGUAUCCCUUUUUCUUUUAAUAUGGUUAACAGGUGAUGGUAUUAGAAUUUCUUGAGAGGUCACAUUUGCUUUCUUUUUUGAUUCACUUUUAGAGGUUCAGAAACCAAAGUAUAAAGAUUGAUGCUUCGUUGCCACUGUGUUCCAUCUGCGAGUAUCCUAAAACUCAUGUUUGCCUUUUUCAUAGUUUUCUCUACUUAAUCUAGCCAUGGAUUAUUGGAUAGUUCACUGUCUAGGUAGCAGAAGGAGAUGACAAGAUGAAGCAGAGCUGCUGAAGACCAGCUAUUACCAGACCAGCAGGAUUCGUUUACUUGCAGGUUUAGGAACCCAUCCUCUAGAACACAGAUGAAAACACAAACAGGCAUUGGAAGUGGUGAACACAUCUCCUUGUCGUCUCUGACCCAUAGCGACGCCGUGGAC
Molecule: long non-coding RNA, 513 nt
Organism: Ornithorhynchus anatinus (platypus)
Lineage: Eukaryota; Metazoa; Chordata; Mammalia; Monotremata; Ornithorhynchidae
Exons: 3
Source: RefSeq, a predicted model, not a curated record